CGCUGGCGGCGUGCCUAAUACAUGCAAGUCGAACGGUCUUUCUAUGGAAGCUUGCUUCCACUGAGAAGAUAGUGGCGAACGGGUGAGUAACACGUGGGUAACCUGCCCAUAAGAGGGGGGAUAACAUCCGGAAACGGGUGCUAAUACCGCAUAGUUUUCUUGAUCGCAUGAUCGGGAAAGGAAAGACGGCCUUUGUGCUGUCGCUUAUGGAUGGACCCGCGGCGUAUUAGUUAGUUGGUGAGGUAACGGCUCACCAAGACGAUGAUACGUAGCCGACCUGAGAGGGUGAUCGGCCACAUUGGGACUGAGACACGGCCCAAACUCCUACGGGAGGCAGCAGUAGGGAAUCUUCCGCAAUGGACGAAAGUCUGACGGAGCAACGCCGCGUGAGUGAAGAAAGGUUUUCGGAUCGUAAAACUCUGUUGUCAGAGAAGAACAAGUUGGAGAGUAACUGCUCCAGCCUUGACGGUAUCUGACCAGAAAGCCACGGCUAACUACGUGCCAGCCGCCGC
RNAcentral lists this ribosomal RNA (512 nucleotides) under uncultured bacterium. Its description in RNAcentral is "bacterial SSU rRNA". It matches the Rfam family "Bacterial small subunit ribosomal RNA", at positions 34 to 518 of the family's 1533-position model. The record is from RNAcentral.